AUUGAACGCUGGCGGCAUGCCUUACACAUGCAAGUCGAACGGCAGCGGACCUUCGGGUGCCGGCGAGUGGCGAACGGGUGAGUAAUAUAUCGGAACGUACCUUUCAGUGGGGGAUAACGUAGCGAAAGUUACGCUAAUACCGCAUAUUCUGUGAGCAGGAAAGCAGGGGAUCGCAAGACCUUGCGCUGAUUGAGCGGCCGAUAUCAGAUUAGCUAGUUGGUGAGGUAAAGGCUCACCAAGGCGACGAUCUGUAGCGGGUCUGAGAGGAUGAUCCGCCACACUGGAACUGAGACACGGUCCAGACUCCUACGGAGGCAGCAGUGGGGAAUUUUGGACAAUGGGCGCAAGCCUGAUCCAGCCAUGCCGCGUGAGUGAAGAAGGCCUCGGUUGUAAG
Molecule: ribosomal RNA, 394 nt
Filed under: uncultured bacterium
Lineage: Bacteria
Description: bacterial SSU rRNA
Rfam family: Bacterial small subunit ribosomal RNA
Source: RNAcentral